Molecule: non-coding RNA, 265 nt
Organism: Cinara cedri
Lineage: Eukaryota; Metazoa; Arthropoda; Insecta; Hemiptera; Aphididae
Source: the annotation of a GenBank genome assembly
AGUGUAGUUUAUGGGACUCGGCGGCGCCGGUUAUCCAAAUUUUUUCCGAUUUCGUAAAAUUCGAAAAUCAUUUUUAAAAUUUUAAGGAGAUCGCCAAUUAAAUACAACAGACGUUUUCGCUAUAAUCUACCGGAUCGAUAUCCGUUUUAGGAACGAAAAAAUUGACUUCCGGAAAAAGCGUGCGGGUUGUGGUCGACGUAAUAUUUGCUACUGUUUUAGUCGCCGAGUUGUUUUUCUAGAAAUGCCUGUGAAUAAUCGCCGCGGA